RNAcentral lists this transfer RNA (73 nucleotides) under Camelus bactrianus (Bactrian camel). It matches the Rfam family "tRNA". From Rfam's summary of the family: Transfer RNA (tRNA) molecules are approximately 80 nucleotides in length. Their secondary structure includes four short double-helical elements and three loops (D, anti-codon, and T loops). Further hydrogen bonds mediate the characteristic L-shaped molecular structure. tRNAs have two regions of fundamental functional importance: the anti-codon, which is responsible for specific mRNA codon recognition, and the 3' end, to which the tRNAs corresponding amino acid is attached (by aminoacyl-tRNA synthetases). tRNAs cope with the degeneracy of the genetic code in two manners: having more than one tRNA (with a specific anti-codon) for a particular amino acid; and 'wobble' base-pairing, i.e. permitting non-standard base-pairing at the 3rd anti-codon position. Lineage: Eukaryota; Metazoa; Chordata; Mammalia; Artiodactyla; Camelidae. The record is from Rfam by way of RNAcentral. RNAcentral also lists the same sequence under 2 other names.
GAGGGUAUAGCUCAGUGGUAGAGUGCGUGCAUAGCAUGCAUAAGGUCCUGGGUUCACAACCCCAGUAUCACCA